ACGACGACAUCUAAUCUCGUUUUCUUUCUCACGAGCCACAUUGAUUUAUG
Molecule: non-coding RNA, 50 nt
Organism: Caenorhabditis elegans
Lineage: Eukaryota; Metazoa; Nematoda; Chromadorea; Rhabditida; Rhabditidae
Source: Ensembl